CAAUAGCGUAUAUUAAAGUUGUUGCAGUUAAAAAGCUCGUAGUCAGAUUUUGACACCAUGCCGAACUGUCUGCCGAUUGGUAUGCACGGUUUGGCGGGUGCUUCCUUCCGGAAGCCCGCGUUCUUCUUCACUGAAGAGCGUGGUGAGUCCGGAUCAUUUACUUUGAAAAAAUUAGAGUGUUCAAAGCAGGCGUUUGCUGUGAAUACAUUAGCAUGGAAUAAUAAGAUAGGACUUUGGUACUAUUUUGUUGGUUUGCAUACCGAGGUAAUGAUUAAUAGGAACGGUUGGGCCUGUUCGUAUUCAGAUGUCAGAGGUGAAAUUCUUGGAUUUUCGGAAGACGAACUACUGCGAAAGCAUUCGCCAAGGAUGUUUUCAUUAAUCAAGAACGAAAGUUAGGGGAUCGAAGACGAUCAGAUACCA
Molecule: ribosomal RNA, 420 nt
Filed under: uncultured eukaryote
Lineage: Eukaryota
Description: bacterial SSU rRNA
Rfam family: Eukaryotic small subunit ribosomal RNA
Source: RNAcentral